AUGAACAAAAGGAAAGAAGAGAGGCACCUGAUAUAUUUCCUCUAAACCUUUUAGAAAACCUGGAGUUGUCCCUUUGCCCAUAUAUAUGUGUAUCUGUAAAGAAAGGUGAUAUUGUAGACAUUAAGGGAAUGGGUACUGUUCAAGAAGGAAUGCCCACAGAUGUUACCAUGGCAAAACUGGAGCAGUCUAUAAUGUUACCCACAUGCUGUUGGUAUUGUUGUAAACAAGGUAAGGGCAAGAUUCUUAAGACAAUUAAUGUGUGUUAUGUAUAGAGUAUACUGAGCACUCUUAAGAGCCAGGACAGCUUCCUGAAAUUCGUGAAGGAAAAUGAUUGGAAAAAAGGAGGAAGCCAGAGAAAGGUGUCUGGGUUCCACUAAACGCCAGCCUGCUCUACCCAGAGAAGCGCACUUUGUGAGAACCAAUGGAAAGGAGCCUGGGCUGCUGGAACCUAGUCCCUAUGAAUUUAUGGAAUAA
RNAcentral lists this long non-coding RNA (474 nucleotides) under Homo sapiens (human). RNAcentral's name for it is "non-protein coding lnc-CDK20-13:1". Lineage: Eukaryota; Metazoa; Chordata; Mammalia; Primates; Hominidae. The record is from RNAcentral.